UUGGAGGGCAAGUCUGGUGCCAGCAGCCGCGGUAAUUCCAGCUCCAAUAGCGUAUAUUAAAGUUGUUGCAGUUAAAAAGCUCGUAGUUGAAUUUCGGGGUCAGUAGGUUGGUCAUGCCACUGGUAUGUACUGGUCUCACUGAUUCCUCCUUCCUGAUGAGCUGUAAUGCCAUUAAUUUGGUGUUGCGGGGAAUCUGGACUGUUACUUUGAAAAAAUUAGAGUGUUUAAAGCAGGCUAACGCCUGAAUACAUUAGCAUGGAAUAAUGAAAUAGGACGUUCGAUCCUAUUUUGUUGGUUUCUAGGAUUGACGUAAUGAUUAAUAGGGAUAGUUGGGGGCAUUAGUAUUCAAUUGUCAGAGGUGAAAUUCUUGGAUUUAUUGAAGACUAACUACUGCGAAAGCAUUUGCCAAGGAUGUUUUCAUUAAUCAAGAACGAAAGUUAGGGGAUCGAAGACGAUCAGAUACCGUCGUAGUCUUAACCAUAAACUAUGCCGACUAGGGAUCGGACGAUGUUAAUUUUUUAAUGACCCGUUCGGCGCCUUACGGGAAAC
Molecule: ribosomal RNA, 549 nt
Filed under: uncultured Rhizophagus
Lineage: Eukaryota; Fungi; Glomeromycota; Glomeromycetes; Glomerales; Glomeraceae
Description: SSU rRNA
Rfam family: Eukaryotic small subunit ribosomal RNA
Source: RNAcentral